This 143-nucleotide long non-coding RNA is filed under the name Aedes aegypti (yellow fever mosquito). Its description in RNAcentral is "lncRNA AAEL028941". It matches the Rfam family "Sphinx conserved region 2". The record is from RNAcentral. Lineage: Eukaryota; Metazoa; Arthropoda; Insecta; Diptera; Culicidae.
CCGCUGGAGCCGUGAACCGUGCCUUUUGGAGACGACAACAGAAAUACUGGAAACCCAAGCGGCUGGGAAUUGCUCCGUUCUUCCAGGUCAUCGUCGGUGGAAUGGUGUUUUUCUAUGCCAUCAACUGCAGCAAACGGAAACCA